This 305-nucleotide ribosomal RNA is filed under the name uncultured bacterium. RNAcentral's name for it is "bacterial SSU rRNA". It matches the Rfam family "Bacterial small subunit ribosomal RNA", at positions 334 to 638 of the family's 1533-position model. The record is from RNAcentral.
GUGCCCUAGGGGGGCAGCAGUGAGGAAUAUUGGUCAAUGGCCGGAAGGCUGAACCAGCCAAGCCGCGUGAAGGACGAAGGUGCCAAGCAUUGUAAACUUCUUUUGUCAAGGGACAAAAUCAGGCUCGAGAGCCUGACCGAGGGUACUUGAAGAAAAAGCAUCGGCUAACUCCGUGCCAGCAGCCGCGGUAAUACGGAGGAUGCGAGCGUUAUCCGGAUUUAUUGGGUUUAAAGGGUGCGUAGGCGGGCUGUUAAGUCAGCGGUAAAAGCCCGGGGCUCAACCCCGGCGAGCCGUCGAAACGGGCG